Molecule: ribosomal RNA, 545 nt
Filed under: uncultured Gigasporaceae
Lineage: Eukaryota; Fungi; Glomeromycota; Glomeromycetes; Diversisporales; Gigasporaceae
Description: SSU rRNA
Rfam family: Eukaryotic small subunit ribosomal RNA
Source: RNAcentral
UUGGAGGGCAAGUCUGGUGCCAGCAGCCGCGGUAAUUCCAGCUCCAAUAGCGUAUAUUAAAGUUGUUGCAGUUAAAAAGCUCGUAGUUGAAUUUCGGGGUUCUACCGUUGGUCGGGCUAUUGUUUGUACUGGCGUGUAGAAUUUCUACCUUCUGGGGAACUAUCAUGUUAUUAAUUUAGCGUGGUAGGAAACCAGGACCUUUACCUUGAAAAAAUUAGAGUGUUCAAAGCAGGCUUAUGUCUGAAUACAUUAGCAUGGAAUAAUAAAAUAGGACGGUGGUCCUGUUUUGUUGGUUUCUGAAUCACCGUAAUGAUUAAUAGGGAUAGUUGGGGGCAUUAGUAUUCAAUUGUCAGAGGUGAAAUUCUUGGAUUUAUUGAAGACUAACUACUGCGAAAGCAUUUGCCAAGGAUGUUUUCAUUAAUCAAGAACGAAAGUUAGGGGAUCGAAGACGAUCAGAUACCGUCGUAGUCUUAACCAUAAACUAUGCCGACUAGGGAUCGGACGAUGUUAAUUUUUCUUGACUCGUUCGGCGCCUUACGGGAAAC